RNAcentral lists this ribosomal RNA (253 nucleotides) under uncultured bacterium. RNAcentral describes it as "partial 16S ribosomal RNA". It matches the Rfam family "Bacterial small subunit ribosomal RNA", at positions 524 to 776 of the family's 1533-position model. The record is from RNAcentral.
GACGAACCGUGCGAACGUUGUUCGGAAUCACUGGGCUUAAAGGGCGCGUAGGCGGGUCGAAAAGUCCGUGGUGAAAUCCCCCCGCUCAACGGGGGAACGGCCGCGGAUACUGUCGGCCUCGAGGGAGGUAGGGGCGAGCGGAACGCUGGGUGGAGCGGUGAAAUGCGUAGAGAUGUGGAGGAACACCGAUGGCGAAGGCAGCCCCCUGGGUCAAGAUUGACGCUCAUGCACGAAAGCGUGGGGAGCAAACAGG